UGGCGCAGCUACCAUGCAAGUCGAGCGGUAGCACAGAGAGCUUGCUCUCGGGUGACGAGCGGCGGACGGGUGAGUAAUGUCUGGGAAACUGCCUGAUGGAGGGGGAUAACUACUGGAAACGGUAGCUAAUACCGCAUAAUGUCGCAAGACCAAAGUGGGGGACCUUCGGGCCUCAUGCCAUCAGAUGUGCCCAGAUGGGAUUAGCUAGUAGGUGGGGUAACGGCUCACCUAGGCGACGAUCCCUAGCUGGUCUGAGAGGAUGACCAGCCACACUGGAACUGAGACACGGUCCAGACUCCUACGGGAGGCAGCAGUGGGGAAUAUUGCACAAUGGGCGCAAGCCUGAUGCAGCCAUGCCGCGUGUGUGAAGAAGGCCUUCGGGUUGUAAAGCACUUUCAGCGGGGAGGAAGGCGGUGAGGUUAAUAACCUUGUCGAUUGACGUUACCCGCAGAAGAAGCACCGGCUAACUCCGUGCCAGCAGCCGCGGUAAUACGGAGGGUGCAAGCGUUAAUCGGAAUUACUGGGCGUAAAGCGCACGCAGGCGGUCUGUCAAGUCGGAUGUGAAAUCCCCGGGCUCAACCUGGGAACUGCAUUCGAAACUGGCAGGCUAGAGUCUUGUAGAGGGGGGUAGAAUUCCAGGUGUAGCGGUGAAAUGCGUAGAGAUCUGGAGGAAUACCGGUGGCGAAGGCGGCCCCCUGGACAAAGACUGACGCUCAAGUGCGAAAGCGUGGGUAGCAAACAGGAUUAGAUACCUGGUAGUCCCGCCGUAAACGAUGUCGAUUGGAGGUGGACCCUGGAGGCUGGCUUCCGAAACUAACGCGUUAAAUCGACGCGCCUGGGGAAUACGGGCGCUAGGUUAUAAUCAAUCAAUUAACGGGGGCCCCCAGAUGCGGGGAG
Molecule: ribosomal RNA, 897 nt
Filed under: Klebsiella pneumoniae
Lineage: Bacteria; Pseudomonadati; Pseudomonadota; Gammaproteobacteria; Enterobacterales; Enterobacteriaceae
Description: bacterial SSU rRNA
Rfam family: Bacterial small subunit ribosomal RNA
Source: RNAcentral